This 253-nucleotide ribosomal RNA is filed under the name uncultured bacterium. RNAcentral's name for it is "partial 16S ribosomal RNA". It matches the Rfam family "Bacterial small subunit ribosomal RNA", at positions 524 to 776 of the family's 1533-position model. The record is from RNAcentral.
UACAGAGGUCCCGAGCGUUGUUCGGAUUCACUGGGCGUAAAGGGUGCGCAGGUGGGUUGGCAAGUUUGAUGUGAAAGCCCCGGGCUUAACCCGGGAAUGGCAUUGAAUACUGCUGAUCUGGAGGAUCGGAGGGGGGACUGGAAUUCUUGGUGUAGCAGUGAAAUGCGUAGAUAUCAAGAGGAACACCAGUGGCGAAGGCGGCUCACUGGCCCGGUACUGACGCUGAGGUGCGAAAGCGUGGGGAGCAAACAGG